This 253-nucleotide ribosomal RNA is filed under the name uncultured bacterium. Its description in RNAcentral is "partial 16S ribosomal RNA". It matches the Rfam family "Bacterial small subunit ribosomal RNA", at positions 524 to 776 of the family's 1533-position model. The record is from RNAcentral.
UACGGAGGAUUCAAGCGUUAUCCGGAUUUAUUGGGUUUAAAGGGUGCGUAGGCGGUCGGAUAAGUUAGAGGUGAAAUCCCGAGGCUCAACUUCGGAAUUGCCUCUGAUACUGUUCGUCUAGAGAGUAGUUGCGGUAGGCGGAAUGUAUGGUGUAGCGGUGAAAUGCUUAGAGAUCAUACAGAACACCGAUUGCGAAGGCAGCUUACCAAGCUACUUCUGACGUUGAGGCACGAAAGCGUGGGGAGCAAACAGG